GAUGAACGCUAGCGAUAGGCCUAACACAUGCAAGUCGAGGGGCAUCACAUGAAGUAGCAAUACGGAUGGUGGCGACCGGCGCACGGGUGAGUAACACGUAUGCAACCUGCCUUCAACAAGGGGAUAACCCGUUGAAAGACGGACUAAUACCCUAUAACACAGGGGUCCCGCAUGGGAAUAUUUGUUAAAGGACAACCGGUUGAAGAUGGGCAUGCGUUCCAUUAGCUAGUUGGCGGGGUAACGGCCCACCAAGGCAACGAUGGAUAGGGGGAACUGAGAGGUUUAUCCCCCACACUGGUACUGAGACACGGACCAGACUCCUACGGGAGGCAGCAGUGAGGAAUAUUGGUCAAUGGGCGAAAGCCUGAUGCAGCAACGCCGCGUGAGCGAUGAAGGCCUGGUCGUAAGCUCUGUCCUAUGGGAA
This 424-nucleotide ribosomal RNA is filed under the name uncultured bacterium. RNAcentral describes it as "bacterial SSU rRNA". It matches the Rfam family "Bacterial small subunit ribosomal RNA", at positions 28 to 446 of the family's 1533-position model. The record is from RNAcentral.